CUAUUAUAUUAAAAUAAACUUAAGUAGUAAUUUUGUAUUCUUAAACUUAUUUAUUUUGACGGCAUUUUAUUUUAUUAAAGGAACCUGUUUUUUAAUCGAUAAUUCACGAUAAUUUUUCACUUUUAUUAAAAAUUUAUAUACCAUCAUCUUAAGAUUAAAUUUCACAAUAUAUUCUUAAUNAAUUUUAAAUAAAAAGUUAGAUCAAGGUAUAAUAAAUAUAAAUGUUUUAAUGUGUUACAUUAAAUGUAAUUUAAGGAUUAUUAUCUUUAUAAUUAAUAUAAAAAAGAAUUUAAAAGUAAUAUAUUUAAAUAAUAAUAAUUUUUGAAUAAAAUAAUAAAUGUGUACACAU
Molecule: ribosomal RNA, 349 nt
Filed under: Caloctenus albertoi
Lineage: Eukaryota; Metazoa; Arthropoda; Arachnida; Araneae; Ctenidae
Description: partial small subunit ribosomal RNA
Source: RNAcentral